UAUCGUGUAUGUUUGAAAUGCAAGAUAUUUCAAUUAUUGAAACGUUAUUUAUUAAUUGCUUUUAUAUUUAGUGCGAAAUCAGUUGUAGAAAUUAGUUAAACAGUCAGCUGCAAAAGUAUUUAAUAUGAAACCGGCAAAUAAGUAUAGUAUAGGCCGUCUUCAAUGCAAAGUCUGUUUAUGUGUUGUGAUAAGUGAUUUAUCAUGCAAUAUUGAAAUUUCUAACGCACCAGUCAGAAAUAUAACCUCAAUUCAGUGAUAUAUGAAUAAAGAGAAAGAAAAUUACAGUGCUGAUAACCCUUACG
This is a long non-coding RNA of Ctenocephalides felis (cat flea), 302 nucleotides long. RefSeq lists it as uncharacterized. The record is from RefSeq and is a predicted model, not a curated record. Lineage: Eukaryota; Metazoa; Arthropoda; Insecta; Siphonaptera; Pulicidae. The transcript is spliced from 3 exons.